GAAAAUCCAUAGGGGAGCCUCGCCACAGAGGCUGAGAAACCGAUAGGUCUCUGGACGAUGAACCAGUGCCGGUGCGGUGACCCUUUUAACCUGAUCCGGAUCAUGCCGGCGGAGGAAAUGGGAUAUGCUUGAGG
This 134-nucleotide non-coding RNA is filed under the name Roseobacter sp. Its description in RNAcentral is "TPP sequence". It matches the Rfam family "TPP riboswitch aptamer (THI element)". From Rfam's summary of the family: Vitamin B(1) in its active form thiamin pyrophosphate (TPP) is an essential coenzyme that is synthesised by coupling of pyrimidine and thiazole moieties in bacteria. The previously detected thiamin-regulatory element, thi box was extended, resulting in a new, highly conserved RNA secondary structure, the THI element, which is widely distributed in eubacteria and also occurs in some archaea. Analysis of operon structures identified a large number of new candidate thiamin-regulated genes, mostly transporters, in various prokaryotic organisms. The record is from RNAcentral. Lineage: Bacteria; Pseudomonadati; Pseudomonadota; Alphaproteobacteria; Rhodobacterales; Roseobacteraceae.